UACAGAGGGUGCAAGCGUUGUUCAGAAUUAUUGGGCGUAAAGGGAGUGUAGGCGGUUUGGUAAGUCUUCUGUGAAAUCUACGGGCUUAGCCUGUAACGUGCAGAGGAAACUACCGAGCUUGAGUGUCGGAGAGGAUAGGGGAAUACCCAGUGUAGAGGUGAAAUUCGUAGAGAUUGGGUGGAACACCAGUGGCGAAGGCGCCUAUCUGGCUGACAACUGACGCUGAGACUCGAAAGCAUGGGGAGCAAACAGG
This 253-nucleotide ribosomal RNA is filed under the name uncultured bacterium. RNAcentral's name for it is "partial 16S ribosomal RNA". It matches the Rfam family "Bacterial small subunit ribosomal RNA", at positions 524 to 776 of the family's 1533-position model. The record is from RNAcentral.